UACAGAGGUCCCAAGCGUUGUUCGGAUUCACUGGGCGUAAAGGGUGCGUAGGCGGUCGGGUAAGUCUGUCGUGAAAUCUCCGAGCCCAACUCGGAAACUGCGUCGUAUACUAUUCGGCUAGAGGAAUGGAGGGGAGACUGGAAUUCUCGGUGUAGCAGUGAAAUGCGUAGAUAUCGAGAGGAACACCAGUGGCGAAGGCGAGUCUCUGGACAUUUCCUGACGCUGAGGCACGAAAGCCAGGGGAGCAAACGGG
This 253-nucleotide ribosomal RNA is filed under the name uncultured bacterium. RNAcentral's name for it is "partial 16S ribosomal RNA". It matches the Rfam family "Bacterial small subunit ribosomal RNA", at positions 524 to 776 of the family's 1533-position model. The record is from RNAcentral.